UCCUCUUCCAGUUUGCCAGCAGCAGCAGAGUUGCUCCACUGCAGCUCACUGCAAAUUUCAGAUCUGAUCGGAAACUUACGUUGCAGUCUGGAAACCCAGCAGGAUGAAAAAAAAACAGGUGGGGAAGUGAACACCAUGUGGAGAUUGGCGCUCUCAGUUAUUUAAAGCCGUCCUAAUGUGCACUAAAUGAAAACAGAGACCCCCCGCCACCACCUGGAAAACACUGAAGGACUAAGUGGAUUGAAGAAGGCAGCCGCCGAGUGAGGUAGUCGGGGUAGGGAGGGGAGACGCAGAGAGGAUUAGGAGCUAAUCCAGUCCAACGAACAAUCCUUGCAGAGCUUUAUCAUUCUUGCAGGACAACGCAGACAAAACAGUUCACGGAUUUAUACGCAGAAACAACGUAUCCAUCUUCUUUUACCUCUGCUGUGACAGUCUUAAUUUGGAAAGAGCUUGGAUCUUUGCUGCAGAUGAACCAGUGGACUAAGAACAAAAGAGACAGGAUGUCCUGUGGACUUUAUGGUGCCACACAAAGAGAUGAACCUUUUAGUAGAAGGAGGAGCACAUGACUGUGGAUCUCUGCUUUUUCACCUCGGCCUGAUGGAAAGACACUAAUCGUCUGUUUGGAAUUUGUGAUCAGGCCUCAUUUACAGUGACUGAAAGCUGCUGCUGUGCAGAGAAGGGAGCUUGGUUGUUUGGGAAAGAUGUGGGAAAGAAUAAAGGAUAUAAACAGAUAUAAGUGGCUGUGCUGGCAUCCCAUGGCGUCGAUCAUAAAGAGAAGCAGUGGGUAGUGCUG
Long non-coding RNA from Cyprinodon tularosa, 793 nucleotides. RefSeq lists it as uncharacterized. The transcript has 3 exons. The record is from RefSeq and is a predicted model, not a curated record. NCBI's taxonomy places the organism in Eukaryota, Metazoa, Chordata, Actinopteri, Cyprinodontiformes, Cyprinodontidae.